RNAcentral lists this ribosomal RNA (148 nucleotides) under uncultured bacterium. RNAcentral's name for it is "partial 16S ribosomal RNA". It matches the Rfam family "Bacterial small subunit ribosomal RNA", at positions 383 to 525 of the family's 1533-position model. The record is from RNAcentral.
CUGAUCAGCAUGCCGCGUGUGUGAAGAAGGCCUUCGGGUUGUAAAGCACUUUAAGUUGGGAGGAAAAGCUAAGGGUUAAUAGCCUUUAGUGUUGACGUUACCAACAGAAUAAGCACCGGCUAACUCCGUGCCAGCAGCCGCGGUAAUA